CUACGGGCGGCAGCAGUGGGGAAUAUUGCACAAUGGGCGCAAGCCUGAUGCAGCAACGCCGCGUGGGGGACGAAGGCCUUCGGGUUGUAAACCUCUUUUAGUAGGGAAGAAGCGCAAGUGACGGUACCUACAGAAAAAGCACCGGCUAACUACGUGCCAGCAGCCGCGGUAAUACGUAGGGUGCAAGCGUUGUCCGGAAUUAUUGGGCGUAAAGAGCUCGUAGGCGGUUUGUCGCGUCUGCUGUGAAAAUCCGAGGCUCAACCUCGGACCUGCAGUGGGUACGGGCAAACUAGAGUGCGGUAGGGGAGAUUGGAAUUCCUGGUGUAGCGGUGGAAUGCGCAGAUAUCAGGAGGAACACCAAUGGCGAAGGCAGAUCUCUGGGCCGUAACUGACGCUGAGGAGCGAAAGCGUGGGGAGCGAACAGGAUUAGAUACCCGAGUAGUC
This 444-nucleotide ribosomal RNA is filed under the name uncultured bacterium. RNAcentral describes it as "partial 16S ribosomal RNA". It matches the Rfam family "Bacterial small subunit ribosomal RNA", at positions 339 to 795 of the family's 1533-position model. The record is from RNAcentral.